UGGGGAAUAUUGCACAAUGGGCGCAAGCCUGAUGCAGCCAUGCCGCGUGUAUGAAGAAGGCCUUCGGGUUGUAAAGUACUUUCAGCGGGGAGGAAGGGAGUAAAGUUAAUAUCUUUGCUCAUUGACGUUACCCGCAGAAGAAGCACCGGCUAACUCCGUGCCAGCAGCCGCGGUAAUACGGAGGGUGCAAGCGUUAAUCGGAAUGACUGGGCGUAAAGCGCACGCAGGCGGUCUGUCAAGUCGGAUGUGAAAUCCCCGCGCUCAACCUGGGAACUGCAUUCGAAACUGGCAGGCUAGAGUCUUGUAGAUGGGGGUAGGAUUCCAGGUGUAGCGGUGAAAUGCGUAGAGAUCUAGAGGAAUACCGGUGGCGAAGGCGGCCCCCUGGACAAAGACUGACGCUCAGGUGCGAAAGAGGGGGGGGCAAACAGG
This 429-nucleotide ribosomal RNA is filed under the name Chloroflexota bacterium. RNAcentral's name for it is "Chloroflexi bacterium partial 16S ribosomal RNA". It matches the Rfam family "Bacterial small subunit ribosomal RNA", at positions 355 to 776 of the family's 1533-position model. Lineage: Bacteria; Bacillati; Chloroflexota. The record is from RNAcentral.